GACGAACGCUGGCGGCGUGCUUAACACAUGCAAGUCGAACGGAAAGGCCUCUUUCGGGGGGUACUCGAGUGGCGAACGGGUGAGUAACACGUGAGUAACCUGCCCUUGACUUUGGGAUAACUUCAGGAAACUGGGGCUAAUACCGGAUAGGAGCUCCUGCUGCAUGGUGGGGGUUGGAAAGUUUCGGCGGUUGGGGAUGGACUCGCGGCUUAUCAGCUUGUUGGUGGGGUAGUGGCUUACCAAGGCUUUGACGGGUAGCCGGCCUGAGAGGGUGACCGGCCACAUUGGGACUGGGAGACGGCCCCGACUCCUACGGGAGGCAGCAGUGGGGAAUCUUGCACAAUGGGUGGAAGCCUGAUGCAGCAACGCCGUGUGCGGGAUGACGGCCUUCGGGUUGUAAACCGCUUUCGCUCAUGACGAAGCUUUGUGUGACGGUAGUGGGUAAAGAAGCACCGGCUAACUACGUG
RNAcentral lists this ribosomal RNA (467 nucleotides) under uncultured bacterium. Its description in RNAcentral is "partial 16S ribosomal RNA". It matches the Rfam family "Bacterial small subunit ribosomal RNA", at positions 28 to 507 of the family's 1533-position model. The record is from RNAcentral.